UCGUUCCACCGCCCCUAGGGGGGCGAUAUCGCCAACUUUAGUUCGACUCGCACCUUAAGCUGAGAGUAUAGAACCGACUUAAGGAUAAGACAAGGAAGGUCGCCAAGCUCCGGGACGCGGCGGUAGCGCAGAAGUCAAGCGCGCUCACGGUGAGAGGGCGGCAGGCCGGACCAAGUGUGCUGUGGCAGUGGCUUGCGCUGGUGGACCUAGUAUGGGCAGCUCUAGUUUUACUCACGAUCAGACUACAAGGCGCUGGAUAUCUUCCAGAAUUCAAGGAUUACUUCAUCGAAGAAAUUCUUUUAAACGCUGAAUAAAUUCAACGGGAAAUAACGCCGGGAUUCAACAGCACAUCUAUUAUUUUCAUCAAGAAACUCAAUUUUUUGCAAACACAACGACUAGUGUUUGAUCCAGCUAAGAAAUGACACCAAAGACUCCCGAAAGCGAAGUGUCUCCCGCUCAGUAGUUCUACCAAUAAACCGGCAGAAAUUGCGGAUUUCGCCCGUUACCACAAAUAAUUAAAUCAUAAAAAGAAGUUUUUCACCCUUGCCAGGUGUUUACGUCAACAUGCUACCUGUGCAGGAGCGAGAGAGUCAGAGAAUGAGCAACACAGCCAGAGCCAGAGAGCAACGUAGGAGAGAAGCAAAGGACUUUAAAAAACACAAGAACGAAUUCGAAGCGGAACAAAAGCGCAACGAUGUCCUGAGAGCCGAGCUAAAGCGACUUGAGACGUCCAUCGCUGCCUUGGGAGCUACAUUUAUGAUGAUUAAAUCGUCAGAUGACUCUAAUAUUAUUGACUCUAUUGAGUUAUCAAUAUAAUAUGAUUUAUUC
Molecule: long non-coding RNA, 828 nt
Organism: Hyalella azteca
Lineage: Eukaryota; Metazoa; Arthropoda; Malacostraca; Amphipoda; Hyalellidae
Exons: 3
Source: RefSeq, a predicted model, not a curated record